This 569-nucleotide ribosomal RNA is filed under the name uncultured bacterium. RNAcentral describes it as "partial 16S ribosomal RNA". It matches the Rfam family "Bacterial small subunit ribosomal RNA", at positions 355 to 916 of the family's 1533-position model. The record is from RNAcentral.
UGGGGAAUAUUGCACAAUGGGCGCAAGCCUGAUGCAGCCAUGCCGCGUGUGUGAAGAAGGCCUUCGAGUUGUAAAGCACUUUCAGCGAGGAGGAAGGUGGUGAACUUAAUACGUUCAUCAAUUGACGUUACUCGCAGAAGAAGCACCGGCUAACUCCGUGCCAGCAGCCGCGGUAAUACGGAGGGUGCAAGCGUUAAUCGGAAUUACUGGGCGUAAAGCGCACGCAGGCGGUUUGUUAAGUCAGAUGUGAAAUCCCCGGGCUCAACCUGGGAACUGCAUUUGAAACUGGCAAGCUANAGUCUCGUAGAGGGGGGUAGAAUUCCAGGUGUAGCGGUGAAAUGCGUAGAGAUCUGGAGGAAUACCGGUGGCGAAGGCGGCCCCCUGANGAAGACUGGCGCUCAGGUGCGAAAGCGUGGGGAGCAAACAGGAUUAGAGUACCCUGGUAGUCCACGCUGUAAACGAUGUCGAUUUGGAGGUUGUGCCCUUGAGGCGUGGCUUCCGGAGCUAACGCGUUAAAUCGACCGCCUGGGGAGUACGGCCGCAAGGUUAAAACUCAAAUGAAUUGACGG